RNAcentral lists this ribosomal RNA (1152 nucleotides) under Triticum aestivum (bread wheat). RNAcentral describes it as "partial small subunit ribosomal RNA". The record is from RNAcentral. Lineage: Eukaryota; Viridiplantae; Streptophyta; Magnoliopsida; Poales; Poaceae.
AUGCCCAUGCGCAUCUUGAUGGAUGAUGUGUACAUAUACCAUGCACACACAAUUUUCUCUUUGUCUUUGUUUUGUGUAGGUACUCAUGUAUACUCGUCAACCUCUCAAUCCCAAGAGUUGACGAAACGAGCUCUUGAGAGCAACGACACUUUGGGAUCCCGUGGACUAUCCUUACCACCAUUCCCUUCGCGCAAGGACUACGCGCAUCUCUUCUACUUGGCUCUCACACGGCUAUGGGCUAUUUACCACUUGUCACCCUAUGCCCAUACUAUCGUGUUCACUUUGCAUGUUAUGCCUCUUUACAUGAUUUUGCCAUGCAAUUGUGACCCUUGCUUGCAUCUACCCAUGAUUCACCAUUAUGAUACUUCUAUGUGUAUUUGCAUGCUUGGUGGAGAUACUUGUAGCUAUUGCCUCGAUUUCUUUGUGCCCCAUGCUAUUGAUGCUUGUUGUGUUGGGAGAGUCAUGAUGACCCAUUGCUAUUUACAUAUGGCUUCUCACCAAUACAUUCAUGCUAUUUUCCUCAUAUCUUGCUUUCAUGCUUGUGAUAUGUCAUGUGCAUUAUUCAUGCCCACUAUUUGCAUACAUGACAUGAUUGCCAUGAUUCCUUCUAGUAUGUUGCAUCUUUGCACUACUAGCUUGCUUGACUUGAUUUCUAUGAUUGCUUGCUUGGUUGCAUCACCCAUGUUCCACUCUUACUCGCUUUCUUGGGUUGAUGACAUAUAUGUUCAUGCCUCUCACGUGAUAUAUCUUGAUCAUUGUCUCUUGUGUCCAUUAGUUGCCUCUUUCAUAUCCACUUGUAUUGAGUGCAACCAUACUAUACUUAUUGAUCCUAGAGACUUUGACAACUUACUUGUGAUGCAUGCUUGUUUACUUGAGCCUAUUGUAUUUGGUUGUUCUUGCAUCAUAUGCCUCCAUACUAUGAAAUGCUCCCUCGUACUUUCUUAUGAUGAGCAUGAUGCAUACACUUGUUGGGUAUCUUACCACUCGAAUGAUAGGUUUUGCAUUUUCGCUAACCUCAUUUGUUUUUCUGAGUGUUUAUCAUGUUCUUUCAUUUUGGAGGAUUCACAAGGCGGUGCCGUUAUGCGACAUAUUGGUUAUGUGAAGGCAUACAUGAUGUACAACUCCAACAUCUUUGGGAACUUUUUGAGGUGA